AGUCGAGAGGGGAAAGCCCUCGGCGUACUGCUCAGUAACACGUGGAUNCCCUUNCCCUGCGGUGGGAAAUAACCCCGGGAAACUGGGGAUAAUGUCCCAUAGAUUACGGAUACUGGAAUGUUCUGUAGUCCAAAGAUUUAUCGCCACAGGAUGGGUCUGCGGCCGAUUAGGUAGUUGUUGGGGUAAAGGCCCAACAAGCCUUUGAUCGGUACGGGUUGUGGGAGCAAGAGCCCGGAGAUGGAUUCUGAGACACGAAUCCAGGCCCUACGGGGCGCAGCAGGCGCGAAAACUUUACAAUGCGGGAAACCGUGAUAAGGGAACUCCGAGUGUCCGUAAAUUCGGACUGUCCGUAUGUUUAAAAAGCAUGCGAAGAAAGGGCCGGGCAAGACCGGUGCCAGCCGCCGCGGUAAUACCGGCGGCUCGAGUGGUGGCCACUAUUACUGGGCUUAAAGCGUUCGUAGCUUGGUUGUUAAGUCUCUUGGGAAAUCUAUCGGCUUAACCGAUAGGCGUCCAGGGGAUACUGGCGAUCUANGGACCGGGAGAGGUGAGGGGUACUUCAGGGGUAUGAGUGAAAUCCUGUAAUCCCUGGGGGACCACCUGUNGCNAAGGCGCCUCACCAGAACGGCUCCNACAGUGAGGGACCAAAGCUGGGGGANCAAACCNGAUUAAGAUACCCGGGU
Molecule: ribosomal RNA, 680 nt
Filed under: uncultured Methanomicrobiaceae archaeon
Lineage: Archaea; Methanobacteriati; Methanobacteriota; Methanomicrobia; Methanomicrobiales; Methanomicrobiaceae
Description: bacterial SSU rRNA
Rfam family: Archaeal small subunit ribosomal RNA
Source: RNAcentral